This 468-nucleotide ribosomal RNA is filed under the name uncultured bacterium. RNAcentral's name for it is "partial 16S ribosomal RNA". It matches the Rfam family "Bacterial small subunit ribosomal RNA", at positions 28 to 507 of the family's 1533-position model. The record is from RNAcentral.
GACGAACGCUGGCGGCGUGCUUAACACAUGCAAGUCGAACGGAAAGGCCCUGCUUUUGUGGGGUGCUCGAGUGGCGAACGGGUGAGUAACACGUGAGUAACCUGCCCUUGACUUUGGGAUAACUUCAGGAAACUGGGGCUAAUACCGGAUAGGAGCUCCUGCUGCAUGGUGGGGGUUGGAAAGUUUCGGCGGUUGGGGAUGGACUCGCGGCUUAUCAGCUUGUUGGUGGGGUAGUGGCUUACCAAGGCUUUGACGGGUAGCCGGCCUGAGAGGGUGACCGGCCACAUUGGGACUGCGAUACGGCCCAGACUCCUACGGGAGGCAGCGGUGGGGAAUAUUGCACAAUGGGGGGAAGCCUGAGGCAGCAACGCCGCGUGCGGGAUGACGGCCUUCGGGUUGUAAACCGCUUUCGCCUGUGACGAAGCGUGAGUGACGGUAAUGGGUAAAGAAGCACCGGCUAACUACGUG